Molecule: long non-coding RNA, 4434 nt
Organism: Amphiprion ocellaris (clown anemonefish)
Lineage: Eukaryota; Metazoa; Chordata; Actinopteri; Pomacentridae
Exons: 3
Source: RefSeq, a predicted model, not a curated record
UGCCAGUAUCAGCAGUAGUGAGUGUACUACCACUACUACUAGUAGUAGUCACAUUGCUAUUACUACCACCAAUACUACCAAUAGUAGUUAUAAAGCCUAACUCAUGUAUAUCCAGAUUACCAUCUAUGUUCUUCCUCCAAACCCAUUUUAUGAUUGGGAUUACAGGCAGUUCUUUAGGACUGCUCUCAAAUAAUUGAAAUGCUACUAAACAAGGUUAUACUUAUCAAAUUAAAUAGCUCUGGUCUCCAGUAUAUUGGCGAAUUCGGUUCUUUGUACUUAAUUUAUUAGCAUGAUUUCUUUUUAAUAUGUUGUAUACAGACUUACUUACUUCUCUGUCUACUUUUCUUACUCCAUGUAGGUUUCCCAGAGACUAUGGGUUGAGGAGGAAGUGGAAGUUUGUCGGCUUAGACCUGGUGUCAUUCCAUCAGUGUUAAACUUCCCGGCUCAUCUUGGAAGAGUACGUGCCAGAAAGACCACGACCAAGCAGCCUUGAGAUCUUAGACAGCGUCUCCCUCAGGUCCCUCACUAUCUCCCCACACAUCCACCAACCACUGGAACACAUCUCCAAAGUUCUGCUGGGCCAGCUCAGCUUCCCCUCAGAAGAAGUGCUGCCACCUGCCAGAUGAAGGAGCCUUUUGAGAGGUAGCUGGCAUCGUGAUUGGACUGUACUUUGGUCUGUUCCAAUCCAGCUUCAGCUCCAGAGACAGCAGGUGGGACGAGUCAACGGAGGCCUGGUGGAUGAAGACAUGCAGCUGAGUACAAUCCAGAAAACAACAGAGGAGGAGUGCAGUGGCCCAGGACCAGAACAACCAGAACCAAAGAACUACAGACUCUUCACAACCUGCUCAAACUCUUGGUACAGGACCUCACCACACGGGUCAAGAAGGUUUCCGUCUCAUUUCUACUCUGAAGCUCACCUUCUCCUGCUCAAACUGCUGACAAAUGUUUCUGCUGCUCUAAAGUCUGGUCUCUAGAACUUCCUAAAAACCCUCAAAGUCUCUUCUGCUGCAGGUUGCUUUGUAGAACUGUUGCAGAAAACCUCACUAAACCACAUGGAGGGGCCUCAAGAUAGUCGUCCAAAUGAAACCAUACAAAAACCAAACUAGCACAACCCAAACGCUAAAGUCUCCUACAGCCUACCAGAGAACCUCUGAGAACAGAGAAUCAGGACAGGAACUCUUACCUUCUGGACAACCAACGCUGGUUCACAAACAAGAAUACAGAAUGUGUCUGACCAAAAACCUCUGAAGACUCACUACAGCCAAGAUAAAGACACAACUCAGCUGCACCAAAUCCACUAAUCACUGCACACAUUAGCACCAUGUGCUAACUGUGGCUAAAGAACCACAUUUACCAAGACAGCUAUCCAGUACAAAGCCCUAAAACACACCAAGAAACACAUUAAAGACAAUUUUACUGCUGGAAGCUGCAAGCCAACGCCUAAAGAACAAACUGAAGCAAAGGAGCCAAACCCGGUUCAGUGGUGAACAGAAGCAGAGGAAAUGUUUGUCUGCAGCUAAAUAAAGCAGGAAGACACUGAGCUGCUCAGGUGUUCCUGAUAACACCAAGCAGCCACCUGGACAGCCAAUAGGAACACAGCUUACUGGAAGUCCAGAGGGCUGGGUUAGUGAAGGAAAUUUAGUUUAAAGUUGAAGCAGAAAGUUAACAAAGAAAGCUGAAAACCACCUUCUGAUACCUGAAAUCUCUUGAGUUUUCACACAAAGAACACCUGAACAUGUCAAACUGGUUCCAUAGUAGAACCAUCACUGUAAAAACGUCAUAGUAUGGUGUGUUGCUCAAAAAACAUUAGGACCCUGCUGUCAGGGGACAAACAUGUAAGAAACAUGAGAACAGAGAGAACCCAACCAGUAGGUCACAGUUUAUCAUCCCCCAGUCAUCUCCUGAAGUCCAUAUGGUGAGAGACAUCAGUAUCUGGUUGUUAAUUUACCAGAGGAUGCUUAUAAUCAUGCUGAUGUGGUCUGUACUCUACAGUAUUUUAGUGACUCAAUAAAUGCCUAAGUUGUUUUUUUAAAAUGCUUUUUAGUUUCUAAUAAACAUUUAAGAGCCUAUAUGUAAUCAAUAAAUGGCCUUUGCCUAUCUUAAGAAAAAUUCACUCAGAACUCUGAUAUGUUAACAGUACUAAAUAAAUCAAUAAAUACAUGCAUAUACACAAAAAUAAGUUAAUACUGUGUUAAGAUUUAGAUUAAAAAAAAGUUGUUUAUGUUUUUGCAGAAUCCAGUAUUACUCACUGGUUGGUCAUUACAUUUUAUUAGUUUGAUUUCACUAUUUAAAAUGAUGCCACCUCGUUUCAGACAGAACCUGUGAUAAUAAAACAAUACAAAAUGUUUAGUUCCGUGUUAAUAAAGCACUUAAAGCUUUAAGUAUGGCUAAAUGCUUUUUUCAAAAUUAAAUAUAUCACUCCUUAGGUGGUAGUGGCCCCAAGUUCAGUAAAGUUGGAAAGAUAUUCACAGAUUCGGACUUCCAGCAUCAAUAACUCAUUAGAUAUAGGUUGUCAAAACAUAAACGGUGCCUCUUUCCCAUUGUUGCAAGGCAGACAAUGUGCUACAAGCCCAGUUUUAUCAAAAGUAGCUGUCUUUCAAGCUACAGGAAUAACAUUGGUGUCUAUGGAGUGAACAGGGUCCAUCUGCAAUUUGCAAAACCGCUGCAACAGUAAAGAGAGACAAAUAUUCAAUAACUUCACUCUUAUACAUUGUAGUGUCACUAAAAUCACUGCAGCCUUCAACUGGCUCCUGUUGACAAAGUGUUUUAACAGAAAUGUAAAUGCUGUAAUGUGAUUCUUUUAAUGAACCAUGUAACUUGAAUGGAUGUGAUGCUGGUGUGACCACAGUGCACACGUCUGAUGUUGCUCACAGUGGUCCAAGGGACGCUCAGGGAGUUUGUGUGUUUGCUCACACUCAUGAAAUAUUACAGGGAACAUUGACACCCACGUUCCUUCAAACUGUAAGGAAUGAACGCUAAGUCUAACAACAAAAUCAUGAUUCACACUUAGUGUUUGGGUAAAGCAAACGCUUAUGUUUAAAAAUCCCAGACCUAAAGUUGACUGUCCUUAGAAUUAAGCAGCAGCAAUGCCCAUUUAAGAGGAAUCAAAUGAUUUCAGUAGAUCUAAAUGAAUAAAACUAGUGAUAUUAAUAUCACUUGUUAGGUUCAGGUGGAGCCACUCAAUUCAGUUGUAUGGUACCAACUGGUCAUUUAAAUCACUUAACCUGCUCCAACAAUUCUCUUUUUUUAGUGCCAUUACAAAAUUGUUUGGUUGUUUUAAAUAUUAGAGGCUAUCAAUGAGCGCACGUUUUUAUCACUCCAUAAAACAGAAAAUACUAUCGACAGCCAAAGAAAAUUCAUUAAUUAUUUUCAAAUCAAUUUAAAAAAAUCAAUUUUUUCCCCACAUUUUUAGGAAUAAAAUAAUCUAUAAUUCAAGGUAUGAGUGAUAUAUGACCAAACCCCUCAGCAAAUAACCUUCAGGACAUAGGUUGGAAUAAAAAUGGAAGGUGUGGUGUAUGUAAUCGUUACUGAGGUGGAAAUGACUGACUCAAUAAGAGAAAAAUCUAAUUUUGAGAUCUUCAUUUUAAUUGAAAUCUACAAAUGCACAUAGAAAAAGUUUAGUAAAAUUUGCACCUAAAUGUGCAUUUUGAAUGUUGUCUUUCCACUAGUCUGAAAGAAGACUUGUUAUGGAAGCAAAACAUCCCAAAAUGUGCAUGAAAAAUACCAAAAAUACAUGAAAAUAGUGUUGAUUUUGUCCUUCUACUUACUGUCAAUCACUAGACUCCAUCCCAACACUACAAAUGACAAGGAUCUUUAUCAGUUAGUGUCUUUAAAAUGCAAAAUUUACUGUGUUUUACAUUCUUCAUCAAAAGACAAGCAGAAGUGGCAAAUGCUCCUACUGAGGGACACUCCAUUAACUCCUGAUGGAAAAGUAGUGAAGGCCGCGUCACGCUGCUGAGGAAUCUGAGCUGCACUGUACGGACUUGGCAGCUCACACGCUGAAGCUCGUGAAUCCGUCGGCGGCGCUUGAGAUGUGUCAACAUGAUUCAUCUGAGCCUGCAAGUGUGGCUUACAGUGACCCUAGCGUGGUGAAAGGGGUCCUUCGCGGCCACAGCUGCAUGGGUCGAUCACAUCGAUCAGACUGAUCAACACACGGUUGCGGCCUGCACAGUACAGACCUGCAGAUGUUUACCAGCUUCUCCAUCCACAUGGAGUCACUAGAUAGGCCUGUUUGUUCCCGACUCCUGGGAGACGAGCGGGCUCCACUCCCAUGUUUCCUUCCUGACUCUCACAACAAGCUCUUUCUGGGAAGAUGGAAAUCAGAUGAACUUGGCUGAAGGCUGCAUGCAUGUCACUCUGGGACUUGGGGUUAUUUGAUGAUCCAGAUAUAUUUAUCUCACUCCUAAGCGUUUGUGUAUAAACUAAGUAAACAAC